RNAcentral lists this transfer RNA (63 nucleotides) under Staphylinidae sp. BMNH 1274226. RNAcentral describes it as "tRNA-Ile". Lineage: Eukaryota; Metazoa; Arthropoda; Insecta; Coleoptera; Staphylinidae. The record is from RNAcentral.
AAUAAAGUGCCUGAUUAAAGGGAUAUCUUGAUAGGAUAUAUCAUGCUUAACUAGCCUUUAUUA